AGCACUUUUGUGUCCAUUUUUUUGUCUGACAUGAGGACUAAGACUUAUGGACAGGUGCAGAAAAUCCUCUUUUGCAACCCAGCACUCAUUGUUCAGUGUGCGAUUUGAUACAUGCGAGAAGGAACAUU
Fukomys damarensis (Damara mole-rat) is the source of this 128-nucleotide small nucleolar RNA. The record is from Ensembl. NCBI's taxonomy places the organism in Eukaryota, Metazoa, Chordata, Mammalia, Rodentia, Bathyergidae.